AACAGUGAUAAAGUUGAACAUACACAUGCUGUUGUCAUUUAUGUUGUGUUCUCUGCAAUCAACAAAACAACCACCAUACAACAAUGGAAUACACUGGACAAAAAAUACCAGCACCGCCCAGAAACAAAAAUAAAAGUAAGGAAAAAUAAUAUUCCAUAACAAUAAGAUAAUCUCCAUAGAUAUGUAAAUGAUUCUUAUGAUCUACAACACAUCUUCUUUUCUGGAAUUACUUGUGCAGGACCCGGGACAAUGAUCUUCUUGCCAGCCAAAGAACCCGAAUUCUCCUUUUGUUCCUCACCCCCGGUCAAACUUUUCUUGUUGACUAUUCUGAAGAUUUCAGUCAAAACAGUCAAGAAUGCAUCUUCUACGUUUGUUGACUCGAGUGCGGAUGUUUCCAGAAAGAAUAAUCCUUCCUUUUCAGCAAACUCCUUGGCGUCCUCUGUGGGGACCGCCCGUUGGUCUUCCAGAUCACAUUUGUUUCCAAUGAGAAUGAUUACGAUGUUUUUGUCUGCAUGGUUACGUAACUCUUCUAGCCACCGUGGGAUGUGGUCAAAUGUUUGGCGUUUUGUUAUGUCGUAAACCAACAUGGCUCCUACUGCACCCCUGUAGUAUGCACUUGUCACUGCUCUACACCUUUCCUGACCAGCAGUAUCCCAGAUCUGAGCUUUAACAGACUUGUGCUGAAUAACAAGAGUUCGAGUCUGAAACUCGACACCAAUAGUAGCUUUGGAGUCCAAACUGAACUCGUUUCUGGCGAAUCGAGCGAGUAUCUGUGACUUGCCGACCGCUGAGUCUCCGAUUAGCACCACUUUGAACACAUAGUCUAUCUUUUGGCUCGGAUCACUGUAUCCACCACCACUGGCCAUUGAUUGA
Molecule: long non-coding RNA, 873 nt
Filed under: Helianthus annuus (common sunflower)
Lineage: Eukaryota; Viridiplantae; Streptophyta; Magnoliopsida; Asterales; Asteraceae
Description: hypothetical non coding rna
Source: RNAcentral